CCUACGGGAGGCAGCAGUGAGGAAUAUUGGUCAAUGGACGAGAGUCUGAACCAGCCAAGUAGCGUGAAGGAUGACUGCCCUAUGGGUUGUAAACUUCUUUUAUAUGGGAAUAAAAUGUUCCACGUGUGGGAUUUUGUAUGUACCAUAUGAAUAAGGAUCGGCUAACUCCGUGCCAGGAGCCGCGGUAAUCCGGAUGAUCCGAUCGUUAUCCGGAUUUAUUUGGUUUAAAGGGAGCGUAGGUGGAUUGUUUAGUCAGUUGUGAAAGUGUGCGGCUCAACCGUAAAAUUGCAAUUGAUACUGGUAGUCUUGAGUACAGUAGAGGUGAGCGGAAUUCGUGGUGUAGCGGUGAAAUGCUUAGAUAUAACGAAGAACGCCGAUUGCGAAGGCAGCUCACUGGACUGCAACUGACACUGAGGCUCGAAAGUGUGGGUAGCAAACAGGAUUAGAUACCCCAGUAGUC
This 460-nucleotide ribosomal RNA is filed under the name uncultured bacterium. RNAcentral describes it as "partial 16S ribosomal RNA". It matches the Rfam family "Bacterial small subunit ribosomal RNA", at positions 338 to 795 of the family's 1533-position model. The record is from RNAcentral.